Molecule: ribosomal RNA, 467 nt
Filed under: uncultured bacterium
Lineage: Bacteria
Description: partial 16S ribosomal RNA
Rfam family: Bacterial small subunit ribosomal RNA
Source: RNAcentral
GACGAACGCUGGCGGCGUGCUUAACACAUGCAAGUCGAACGGAAAGGCCCUGCUUUUGUGGGGUGCUCGAGUGGCGAACGGGUGAGUAACACGUGAGUAACCUGCCCUUGACUUUGGGAUAACUUCAGGAAACUGGGGCUAAUACCGGAUAGGAGCUCCUGCUGCAUGGUGGGGGUUGGAAAGUUUCGGCGGUUGGGGAUGGACUCGCGGCUUAUCAGCUUGUUGGUGGGGUAGUGGCUUACCAAGGCUUUGACGGGUAGCCGGCCUGAGAGGGGGACCGGCCACAUUGGGACUGAGAUACGGCCCAGACUCCUACGGGAGGCAGCAGUGGGGAAUAUUGCACAAUGGGCGGAAGCCUGAUGCAGCAACGCCGCGUGCGGGAUGACGGCCUUCGGGUUGUAAACCGAUUUCGCCUGUGACGAAGCGUGAGUGACGGUAAUGGGGAAAGAAGCACCGGCUAACUACGU